UACGUAGGGGGCUAGCGUUGUCCGGAUUUAUUGGGCGUAAAGAGCUUGUAGGCGGUUUGUCGCGUCUGCUGUGAAAAUCCGGGGCUCAACUCCGGACUUGCAGUGGGUACGGGCAGGCUAGAGUGUGGUAGGGGAGACUGGAAUUCCUGGUGUAGCGGUGAAAUGCGUAGAUAUCAGGAGGAACACCGGUGGCGAAAGCGCUCAUCUGGCCCAAUACUGACGCUGAGGCGCGAAAGCUAGGGGAGCAAACGGG
This 253-nucleotide ribosomal RNA is filed under the name uncultured bacterium. RNAcentral's name for it is "partial 16S ribosomal RNA". It matches the Rfam family "Bacterial small subunit ribosomal RNA", at positions 524 to 776 of the family's 1533-position model. The record is from RNAcentral.